CCUACGGGAGGCAGCAGUGAGGAAUAUUGGUCAAUGGCCGCAGGGCUGAACCAGCCAAGUCGCGUGAGGGAUGACGGUCCUAUGGAUUGUAAACCUCUUUUGUCAGGGAGCAAAGGGCGCCACGUGUGGCGUUUUGCGAGUACCUGAAGAAAAAGCAUCGGCUAACUCCGUGCCAGCAGCCGCGGUAAUUCGGAGGAUGCGAGCGUUAUCCGGAUUUAUUGGGUUUAAUGGGUGAGCAGGCGGAAUGUCGAGUCAGCGGUAAACGUUCGGGGCUAAACCUCGGCGUGCCGUGGAGACGGGCGUUCGUGAGUGAGCGAGAAGUAUGCGGAAUGCGUGGUGUAGCGGUGAAAUG
RNAcentral lists this ribosomal RNA (352 nucleotides) under uncultured bacterium. Its description in RNAcentral is "partial 16S ribosomal RNA". It matches the Rfam family "Bacterial small subunit ribosomal RNA", at positions 338 to 688 of the family's 1533-position model. The record is from RNAcentral.